RNAcentral lists this ribosomal RNA (279 nucleotides) under uncultured bacterium. RNAcentral's name for it is "partial 16S ribosomal RNA". It matches the Rfam family "Bacterial small subunit ribosomal RNA", at positions 506 to 784 of the family's 1533-position model. The record is from RNAcentral.
UGCCAGCAGCCGCGGUAACACGGGGGGUGCGAGCGUUGUUCGGAAUUACUGGGCGUAAAGCGCGUGUAGGCGGAAUGUUAAGUCAGAUGUGAAAGCCCACAGCUCAACUGUGGAACUGCAUUUGAAACUGGCAAUCUAGAGUGCUGGAGAGGGAAGGGGAAUUCCAGGUGUAGAGGUGAAAUUCGUAGAUAUCUGGAGGAAUACCGGUGGCGAAGGCGCCUUCCUGGCUUAAAACUGACGCUGAGGUGCGAAAGCUUGGGUAGCGAACGGGAUUAGAUA